Molecule: non-coding RNA, 9088 nt
Organism: Oryctolagus cuniculus (rabbit)
Lineage: Eukaryota; Metazoa; Chordata; Mammalia; Lagomorpha; Leporidae
Source: RefSeq, a predicted model, not a curated record
GGGGGCCAGGAGGGAGAACUGUGGGCGGGCAUGGGGAGCCCGAGGCCGUUCUUCUGGACUGGAGGGGAAGCGCACUCCAAGUCAGAGGGAGGAUGUGCCGAGCCCCCGACGCUCAUGGCCCGGAUUUGCUGGGUGGCUGCAGGCUACAGUGUGGCAAAAAGAACACCCCUUGACACCCUGUGGACCACACAUCCCUACCUGCAUUAUCCGUGCCACCACUGGCAAGACCUGCCACUCAUGCCAUCAGUGCAGAAACUACCUGCAGCCCUGGGUUCUGCCUCCCCAUGGGACUGAAGUAUAAGGCGGGGGGGGGCGGGGGGAGGGUCUUCCAAAAGUUCAGUGUUACUAAAGAACUAUGUAUGUAUGGUGCAAAAUGUUCUGCACCAGGGGUACAACAGGUUAAGCUACUACUUGGUACAUUGGCACUCAGUAACAGCCAGCCAGUUAAAGUCCUGGCUACUUUGCACUUCUGAUCCAGCUUCCUACCAAUGUGCCUGGGAGGCAGCAAAUGAUAGCUGAAGUACCUUGAGUUCCUGGCACUCAUGUGGGAGACUUGGAUGGAAUUCCUGCCUCCUGGUUCCUGAAUUGGGCCUGGUUCAGCCCUGGCUACUGGGGGCAUUUGGGGAGUGAGCCAGCAGAUGGAAGAUCACUCUUUCAAAUAAAUCUUUUAAGUUUUGUACCAUAAUAAACUUAUUUUUUAACUCCAUUUUCUACAAACUUUUUUGAAGUUCACUGGUAAGUGAUGACCUGAGCAAGUGCAAUCAAUAGUAUUAAAAGUGGUUUACAGGCAGGUGCUCCCCACUACCUUCACCAUUUCUCCCCAUCACUCACACUUGUUAAUUACUUGCAUGUUCUUUGAUUAUCAAAUUUGGCCACCUCCUCCACCCAGCCAUGCACACACACUUCCAUUUCCCCUUUUGGCACUGGUGGUAUCUAAACAGCCUUGCUGCUUUGGGGUGGGGGUAUUUUCCCUCCAAAAAAGGAAUGUGUAUCCUGUCUCAUUUCCAGGAUUUUGUAUGAUCUGAAGUGCCUGAGGGGACAGGACUGACAGGGUGUGCAGAAUGGGAGCUGCCUGGCGCACCAGGGUGCCAGUGUGGCCAGAACUACAGCAGCUGCCCUGCCUCUGUGGGUUCUCUAAUCACUGCCGUGUGACUGAACCAGGGGAGAGACUAGGGAGAAGCCUUAUUAGCCCAUUGCCUAGCAUAAGCUACAUCCUCAAAAACCAAUGAUGUCGUGAGUGGAUUUGUGCGGAUGAGGUAAAACCUUCCGAGAUGCAGAUAAAGUGUAAUAGACCAGGGUGGGCACCGGAGCAGUUUGGGCGCCACUUGGGAUGCCUGCAUUGGAGUGCGUGAUUCAAGUCCUGGCACUACUUCCAAUCCAGCGUCCUACCCUCCAGAGGCAGCAGAAGAUAGCUCUAGUACUUGAGCCCCUGCCACCCAUAUGGGAGACCCAGAUGGAACUACUCACGCCUAGCUUUGUCCUGGACUGGUCCAGCCCCAGCUGUUUCGGCUGUUUGGGUAAUGAAAUUUGGGGAGAUUUCUCUCUUUUCCUUUCAAAUAAAAUGAAAAUAAAUACAUUUUUGAAUUCACUAAUACCUGUUAACUUCUGGGAAAGCUAAGUGGAAAUAUGGGUGGAAUGCACUGAUUUCUGUCUCUGUCCUUUCCCAAAGUGUCUGCCCUCACCCACCUGAAUGCUGGAGUCUUUUGUGCCAUCUUGUUUUCUGCCAUUCUUGCUUUGUUUCAGCCAUUGAAAUCUUCCAGGUUAGUUGCUAAGAUGUUUUCUUAGCAAGAGGCAUUAGGUGGAAACGGGUGUGGAGAAAGGAGAAACUGUAGGCAGGCAGGACCAUCCCAAGAGUACAGUUUUGUGUGUGUGUGUGUUUUUUGUUUUUUUUUUUUUUAAUGUUUAUUUAUUUAAAAGACAGACUUACAGAGAGAGACAGCAAGAUCUUCUAUCCGCUGGUUCAUUCCUCAAAGGCAGCAAUGGCCAGGGCUGGGCCAGGCUGAAGUCAGGAGCCUGGAAUCCAUCCAGGUCUCCCAUGUGGAUGGCAGGGGCCCAAGCACUUGGGCCAUAUCUUCUGCUUAGCAAGAAAUUCGAUGGAAGUAUAGCAGCUGGGACUUGAACCAGUAUUCAUAUGGGAUGCCAGCAUUGCAGACAAAGGCUUAACCCACUGUACCAUAUCGCUGGCCUCCCAGCAGUCUAAUUUUUUGAGGAAGAGGGACAAAACAGAGCUCAGCUGUCCACAACCAGAAGUCAGAUGAUGAUUUAGGGAGAUGGAGAGGACUGUGGCUGGCUGGUCUGUAAGAAAUGAUCCAAGCUCACAGAGCAAAACGCAAAGUCAUCAAGGCAAAGUAAGGGUAGCAUGUUACUCUUCUGCCUGCCCAAGUUUUCUCAUCCCACAGUCCCAUGGAUUGUACCACACCUUACGCUUUUUUGCUGUUAGGAUCCCUAAGUUCCUUCAGUGCUUCCCUCUGAACUCCUGUCUUCUAUCUCUUUCUCUUUCCUUGGGACCCUCUUCUGCUGAUCUCUAUGAAUUCUUACAGUGGCUGUGCCUGGGCAAAUUGUCCCCAGUCACUGGCUUUUUGGGAAAGGCUAUGAGAAGAUCCAGGAGCCUCUGCAGGACUGCUGUUCACCUUCCUUGUAGGUUUCACCCUUGCAUCCUUACAGGAGCGGCCUGAGAGGACGUUCCAGUCCAAGCAGGGCAGACAGACAGUGGACAGGCCCUGCUGCUCGGUCAAGAAGCAGGGACUCUUUUCCUCCCUAAGAACCUCCAACUCCUCUCCCAGAUGCAGAGAACACAAAGGAAGGUCGAUGAUCUAAAAAUCUAAGGACCAGAAAAUGACCUCUGCAUUUACAAAGCUAUAUGUCCUCCUCCCACCUCAGAGGUCUUCACAGUUGCUCCUUUCCUCAGCCCCAAGGAAAGGUGGGCAGGGAGGCUGCCUGACUCUUCUCUCGUCUUCACAAGGCUAACUACGCCUCCUAGUCCCAUGAGUCCAAUGCAAGGGCUAGCCCAACGACUGGACAGGGGAGUGAACAGGCUCCAUUCCUCACUGCCUUCUGUACCGGGGUCUAUCAGUGGUUCCUCCAUCAGCUCUAAACCACCCAGCUGCACAUGCUGCUCAGGGGCCUAUACUCCCCAGCUGCCUUCAUUUGUGGGAAUCAGCAGGAUACCCUGACCCUAUACUGCCAUUAAGAAGAGACUGAGCCAAGAGGACUCCACAAUCUAGGACCUAAGGAGCCAUGAUUUUUGUCUCUCAUCUACAAUCUUGGGGACAAUCCUUGGAAGCCUCAGGCCAAAGCCUUAAGCUUCUUAAGAACUCCAUACAAAGCAAUGCAACUAGGACCACACUGCCAAAGAAGAACCUUUUGCCAAGAUCCAGUCUAACUCAUAUUAAAAAUUUACAAUACCACAGGGCUGGCAUUAUGGCUUAGCAAGUUAAGCUGCCACCGCCUGCAGUGUCAGCAUGUCAUAUGGCCCCAACUGCUCCACUUCUGAUCCAGCUCUCUGCUAAAGCCUGGGAAAGCAGAGAAGACAGCCCAAGUGCUAGGCCCCUACACUCACAUGGGAGACUUGGAAGAAGCUCUUGGCACCUGGCUCUGGCUUGACCAACUAUGGCAAUUACCGCCAUUUGGGGAAAUGAACCAGCAGAUGGAAGACCUCUCUCUGUCUCUCCCUCUCUUUGUAACUGUGUCUUUCAAAUAAAUAAAAUAAGUCUUUAAAAAAAUUUACAAUACCUAAGGCUAAUGUAUAGAACAUACUUCCUGCCCACUUAUAAAAUUAAUUCUUUGGGGCUGGCACUGUGGUGUAGUGGGUAAAGCCACCGCCUGCAGUGCUGGCAUCCUAUAUGGGUACGGUUCGAGCCCCGGCUGCUCCACUUCCAAUCCAGCUCUCUGCUAUGACUGGGAAAGCAGUGGAGGAUGGCCCAAGUCCUUUAGCCCCUGUACCUACAUGGGAGACCCAGAAGAAGCUCCUGGCUCCUAGCUUCAGAUCAGUGCAGCUCUGGCCAUUGCAACCAACUGAGGAGUGAACCACCAGAUGGAAGGCCCCCUUCUCUCUCUCUCUCUCCUUCUGCCUCUCUGUAACUCUGCCUUUCAAAUAAAAUAAAUAUUAAAAAAAAAAAAAGUGGAAACUUGGGAAAAAGAGGCCAAUACUGCUAGAGCAGAGUGUACAAGAAGUUGAGGAGCUGGAAAUGAGACCCAAGUGGUAAGGGAAUAGGGCGGCAGAUCAUGGAGGGUCUUGGAGUCCUUUAAAACAACUCUGGUUUUUUCCUAUUAUACAGAAAAAAUGGGAGAGGUCAGAGUAGAAGAAUGACAUGAUAUAGCUCCCAUGUUAACACCAGUCCCUGUGGCUGCUGUGUUGAGAACUGACUGUAAGCAGGCAAUGGCAGAUGCUGACCAGCUACUGCAAUAAUCCUGAAGACAAGUAAUUCUGACUGGGCCUAGGAGGGGAGUCAAAGUGAGGAGAAACAGGAUUCUGGGUAUAUUUGAAGAAAACGUUCAGGAUAUUUGAUGAACUGGAGAUGAAAGAAAAGUGUUGAAAUCAACACUGAAAUGCUCUGACAUGAACUAGAAAGAGGUUAUUAACUAAGAAAGACUGCAGGAGUAAGCUAGAAAAAAGUUCUUUUUGAUGUCAAAUUUGAGGUAACUACUGAGCGUCCAAGUGGAGACACCAAGGGGCAGCUGGAUAUUCAGGACAGAAACAAACUGAAGCUGUUAAAAACAAACCAAACAACAACAACAACAAAAAAAAAAAACACCACACACAAAAACCUAGGAGUCACCCAUAUCAACAUGAUUUUCACACUGUAAGAUUACGGAAUCACUGUGGUGUCUAUGUAAAUAGAGUAGUGUGAGGACUAGAUUGUGACAAUGAGAAACUAGCAAAGGAGACUCAGAACAGUGCAAAAGCUAAGAGGCAGAGGAGAGAAUAUGUUCUAAACCAAGGAAGAAAAAUGCUUCAAAGAGGAACCAUCAAAUCCUGCUGAAAGCCUCUUUAAGGUAAGGCAGAGUACACCGCUGGACUUGGCGACGUGCAAGUCAUUACUGAUGUAGUAAGAACAGUUUUGGUGGAGUAAAUUUAAUAAAGAAUUGAAGACAACUCCUUUUAAGUUUUGCUGUGAAGUAGAGCAGAAAAGCGUGCAGUUGGAAACAGAAAUAGAGUCAUAAGGGCAUUAUUUGUAAAUAAAAUAGUAGCACAGUUGUGGCUGAUGAGAUUUACAAGAGAAAGCAAAACAGUGACUCUACAGAAAAGGAAAAAUUGUUGAGUCAUACCCUUAAAGGUAAGUGGGUAAGAUCUACUGCACUAGAAUGUGGGCAGGAGCGUGAAGCAUCAGCAAGGUUUCUCAAUCUUAACACACUUAGACAUUUUAGCCCAUAAAUUCUUCAUUGUGGGGUUUUCAUGGAUAUUCUAUAACAACCCUGGCUUCUGUCUAGUAGCACCCUCACCCUUUUUGUGAAAACCAACAUCCUCUGAGGAACAAAAUCAUAGUAUAUGGGCACAGGUGCAGUAAUGAGAACUCGAAAUGUGUUGCUUUUAUUUUCCUACUGAAACAAAGAACAAAGUGUCUUAGCUUUUUGUUAUCAUAAUUAAAAUAUCUGAGAGGCUACCUAUAAAAGUUCAUUUUAGCUAAUGGUUUUGUAGGCUCACACUCCAAGAUCAGGUACCCCACCAAUCCAGGAUCUAAGGGUGACAGGUGGCAGGAUUCAGAGGGAUCACCUGGUGAGCUAAGAGUACCGUGAGGAAGCAUGUUUGUCCAUGUGGUCUCUCCUUUAUAAAGCCCUCAGGAUGCCAUCAUGGGACUUCACCCUGGCAACCAACUCUAAUCUAAUGACAUCACAAAGAUUCUGCCUUCAGACAUCAUAAACAGAUUAAGCUUCCACCCCUGGAGCACAAAUAGCCCAAGAUUUGAGGUUUAAACAUUCGAGUGAGUUAAAGAACAAACUCAUGUUCAAACUACAGCACAAGAAUAUGUGUGAGCAGAUGCUGGAGACUUGAAGAGUCUGAGGAUAUGAAACAGUUAUCAGAGAAGGAAAGUGGAAGGAGUAGGAAGAUGGAAUAUUGCUGAGCAGCAUCAAGGACCCAUUUUGGUUUCACGAUGAUGAACUGCAGACCAGUCUACAAGGCUGCUUUCUGCUAGCCCUUUCAGUUUCAUAGGUAUAGAUACAGGGUAAUGAGUACCACAAAAACAAAGGAGGCGAACAGAGAGAAAGUAUAUGCAACAAAGUGCUUAUUAUUGGUAUUCAGCUCAGAAAGGAAGUAAAGGGGCCGGUGCUGUGGCGUAGCAGGUAAGGCCACUGCCUGCAGUGCCAGCAUCCCACAUGGAUGCCGGUUCGAGUCCCGGCUGCUCCAUUUCCGGAAAGCAGUAGAAGAUGGCCCAAGUCCUUGGGCACCUGCACCCAUGUGGGAAACCCGGAAGAAGCUCCUGGCUCUUGGCUUCAGAUCAGCACAACUCCAGCUAUUGUUGCCAUUUGGGAAAUAACCAUCCGAUGGAAGACCUCUCCCUCUCUCUGCCUCUCCUUCUCUCUCUGUGAAACUCAAGUAAAUAAAUUUUUAAAAAAAUAAAAUGUAAGACCAUUAUGAACCUAUAAAUGACUGUAAGAAGAUAGUGUUCAAGUCCUGGCUGUUCCACUUCCAAUCCAGCUCCCUGCUAUGGCCUGGGAAAGCAGCAGAAGACGGCCCAAGUCCUUGGGCUCCUGAACCCACGUGGGAGACCUGGAAGAAGCUCCUUGCUCCUGGCUUCAGAUCAACUCAGCUCUGGCCACUGCAGCCAUUUGUGGACUGAACCAGUAGAUGGAGGGCCUCUCUCUUUGCCUCUCUGUUAACUCUGUCUUUCAAAUAAAUAAAUAAAUCUUUUAAAAAAUAAAUUAAAAAACAAAGUGAAGUCAGUGGGAAGGAAGACCAAAGGUAGUUAGGUUCUGGUGAAGGAAUAAAUUACUGGACUCAGCAUACUACAGGGAAUGAAAUGGAAAAGGCGGGAGGUAAUGGUGGGAGAGAGGGAGGUUUGAGACUGAGAUAUGGAGGAGUUAGAGGUCUAGAAUAUGGCCACAGAGAUGAGUGGCUGAAGCAGAUGACAGAAGGAUGACCUACAUGGAUACUGAAAUCAUUAAGACUUCUAAGAAUGAUGUUGGUGUGGUACAGGAGCAGGGAUAAGGGAGAAUGGCUGGAAAUAGUGUGAGGGAAAAUGGCAAUGUCUGCACUUCUGGGCCCCACAGUACAAUGGGUCUGGAAGAGAAAAACCAUCAAAUCAGGAGUGACAGAAGCAGAGGUCUCACAAGAAACCAGGUCUCAGAGGAAGAAUGUGAAACAAGGGGCCAGCGCUGUGGUGCAGCGGGUCAACGCCCUGGCCUGAAGCGCUGGCAUCCCAUAUGGGUGCUGGUUCUAGUCCUGGCUGCUCAACUUCCCAUCCAGCUUUCUGCUAUGGCCUGAGAAAGCAGUAGAAGGUGGCCCAAGCCCUUGGGCCCCUGCACCUGUGUGAGAGACUCGGAAGCUCCUCGCUCAUGGCUUCGGAUCGGCACCAUUGAGGCCAACUGGGGAGUGAACCAUCGGAUGGAAGACCUCUCUUUCUGUCUCUCCUCUCUCUGUGUAACUCUUUCAAAUAAAUAAGUAAGUCUUUAAAAAAAAAAAAGAAUGUGAAACAAACAUUCAGGGAAGAGGUUAAAGAUGCAGGGCACUUCGCAAGUGACUGGCUAUUAGCUCCACAGGAACACAGUAGAAAAGAUUUAGGCAUUGGAAGGAUUCAGAUGGAGACAAAAAAGGGGGUACAAACACAAAUGGUUCUUAAGCAUGUAAAAGAUGAGGUAACAGGGCCAGCGCCAUGGCGCAGCAAGUAAGGCUGCCGCCUGCAGUGCUGGCAUCGCAGAUGGGCACUGGUUUGAGUCCUGGCUGCUCCACUUCCGAUCCAGCUCUCUGCUAUGGCCUUAGAAAGCAGCAGAAGGUGGCCCAAGUCCUCCAAGUCCUUGGACCCCUGUGUCUGCGUGGGAGACCUGGAAGAAGCUCCAGGCUCCUGGCUCCAGCUGUUGCAGCCACCGGGGAGUGAACCAGUGGAUAGAAGACCUUUAUCUCUCUCUCUCUCUCUCUCUCUGCCUCUGCUUCUCUGUAACUCUGCCUUUCAAAUAAAUAAAUAAAUCUUUUUUUUAAAAGAGAUGAGGUGACUCGGCAGUUCAAGACCUGUUGUGAUGAUAAUCAUGCAAACAUAAUGGGAUGAUUACUCUGGUGGCUGCGGCAGGAGGGAAGCCUGCCGAUGGAGGCACAUGUGACGUGCGUGGGAGGAAGUGCAUGGACAAGGGCGGUUUUACUCAAGCUGUAAUCAGACCUAUCUCCAGGCUAUCCUGAAGAAAGUCCUGAGUGUCUACAUCACAUAAUUCAAAUGAGAUAAUGACUAUAAAGCAGACAGGACUGGGUCUGAUACUAAAACAACAUUGCUAGAGAGCCGUUAGGACAGCACCCAUGACUUCUCCCCGUUUUUGGCUCCUGGGCAGAGGCCUCCAGAGGCUACCUGCACAGUCAGUCACAGUGCUGUUCUGACCCCGGCUCCUUAUCUGUUCACUCCAUCAACAAGACUGUACCCUGUUCUGAGGAACACAAUCUAAUUAUCAACAUAUAAAAUCAAAAAUUCUUUAUUUUUGAGCCAUCCUAAGGUUCCACAGGGGCUCCCAACCGUGCUUGCAGGCCCCAGCUUUGCCAGGGGGACUGGAUUCCAUAGCCUUGCCAUGACUCCCAAGUCAGGAAGGAGAGUCAGGCCCAGGUUCCUGUGGGCUCCCCUUAGGAAACUAUCUACUCUGAUCCUGUUCAUCUUGCUAGUCCCUCCAGGUCACUUCUACUUCAUCUGUCCGAUACCUGUGGAAAAAGAGGAAAAAUCUGAUGGAGGUCUACCCCUUACCACCUUCCAUUUUUCUCUGUCUCCCCAUCAGGAAUGGACUCUCUCCUGUGCUGACUCUGGCCUACCUCCCAAACAAGCCUGUCUAUUCCCCACAAAGAGGGAAUCACUCACCUCUGUGUAAUCCCAGAAUCACGGAGUGGGGUUCUGUGUCCGGCCUGGAACAUCUCCCAGCCAGCCUGGGCUAUCAUGGCUCCAUUAUCAAUGCAGAAUCU